UAAAUCCAAUGUGGCAUCGCUAUACUUA
RNAcentral lists this small RNA (28 nucleotides) under Bombyx mori (domestic silkworm). Its description in RNAcentral is "ovarian small RNA-18462". Lineage: Eukaryota; Metazoa; Arthropoda; Insecta; Lepidoptera; Bombycidae. The record is from RNAcentral.